RNAcentral lists this long non-coding RNA (250 nucleotides) under Lathyrus oleraceus (garden pea). RNAcentral's name for it is "Pisum sativum (pea) long non-coding RNA (PSAT_LNC015906)". Lineage: Eukaryota; Viridiplantae; Streptophyta; Magnoliopsida; Fabales; Fabaceae. The record is from RNAcentral.
UGCAACAUCAGCUUUCAAGUCAGUCCUCAUAUCUGGAACAGGGAUAUCUCUCAACCAGGAUCUCAAUCAAGAAUGUACCCUGCAUAUGGAUAAACAUGAGUUAGAUGCGGAAAAAUGCAAAAUGUUAAUGAUGCUGAUGUAUGAAUGCAAUGCACUGUGCCAUCCCCCAAGUCAUCUAAUCAUCAACUGCACUGAGUCACGGUCUCUGAACUGAUCACAACCAUCUGAGGUACUGAGUAACCCACAAAUC